Molecule: ribosomal RNA, 805 nt
Filed under: Dysdercus suturellus
Lineage: Eukaryota; Metazoa; Arthropoda; Insecta; Hemiptera; Pyrrhocoridae
Description: partial large subunit ribosomal RNA
Rfam family: Eukaryotic large subunit ribosomal RNA
Source: RNAcentral
UGGUGAACUAUGCCUGGCCAGGACGAAGCCAGGGGAAACCCUGGUGGAGGUCCGAAGCGAUUCUGACGUGCAAAUCGAUCGUCUGAGCUGGGUAUAGGGGCGAAAGACCAAUCGAACCAUCUAGUAGCUGGUUCCCUCUGAAGUUUCCCUCAGGAUAGCUGGCUCUCGUGCGAGACGAGUCUCAUCCGGUAGAGCGAAUGAUUAGAGGUGAUGGGGUCGAAACGACUUCAACCUAUUCUCAAACUCCCAAUAGAUGAGAGCCCCGGCUUGCUUGAAUGUGAAGCCGUGGGACUCGGAUCAGAGUGCCAAGUGGGCCAAUUUUGGUAAGCAGAACUGGCGCUGUGGGAUGAACCAAACGCGGAGUUAAGGCGCCUGAUUCGACGCUCAUAUGAAACCAUGAAAGGCGUUGGUUGCUUAAGACAGCAGGACGGUGGCCAUGGAAGUCGGAAUCCGCUAAGGAGUGUGUAACAACUCACCUGCCGAAGCAACUAGCCCUGAAAAUGGAUGGCGCUGUAGCGUCGUGCCUAUACUCCGCCGUCAACGGCAAAGCUGGCGUCCCCUCAACAGGGAUAAGCCGUUACGCCUUGACGAGUAAGAGGGUCGCGGCGGUGUGCGCGGAAGGGUCUGGGCGUGAGCCCGCCUGGAGCCGCCGCUGGUGCAGAUCUUGGUGGUAGUAGCAAAUACUCCAGCGAGGCCCUGGAGGACUGAUGUGGAGAAGGGUUUCUUGUGAACAGCUGUUGCACAAGAGUCAGUCGAUCCUAAGCCCUAGGAGAAAUCCGAAGCGAUGGUAUGCCGUUAAAACUCU